UUCAAACAGUGGUUCCCAUACAAUCACCUAAGUUAAGCAAUAUCAAGCUUGAUCAGUAACUAGAUGAGUGACCGCUUGGGAAUACCAGGUGUUGUAAG
Molecule: non-coding RNA, 98 nt
Organism: Acanthosepion pharaonis
Lineage: Eukaryota; Metazoa; Mollusca; Cephalopoda; Sepiida; Sepiidae
Source: the annotation of a GenBank genome assembly